UACGAAGGGGGCUAGCGUUGCUCGGAAUCACUGGGCGUAAAGCGCACGUAGGCGGCUUUCUAAGUCAGGGGUGAAAUCCUGGAGCUCAACUCCAGAACUGCCUUUGAUACUGGAGAGCUUGAGUCCGGAAGAGGUGAGUGGAACUCCGAGUGUAGAGGUGAAAUUCGUAGAUAUCGGGAGGAACACCGGCGGCGAAAGCGGCCACCUGGACGAGGACUGACGCUGAGAUGCGAAAGCGUGGGGAGCAAACAGG
RNAcentral lists this ribosomal RNA (253 nucleotides) under uncultured bacterium. Its description in RNAcentral is "partial 16S ribosomal RNA". It matches the Rfam family "Bacterial small subunit ribosomal RNA", at positions 524 to 776 of the family's 1533-position model. The record is from RNAcentral.